GACGAACGCUGGCGGCGUGCUUAACACAUGCAAGUCGAACGGAAAGACCCUGCUUUUGUGGGGUGCUCGAGUGGCGAACGGGUGAGUAACACGUGAGUAACCUGCCCUUGACUGUGGGAUAACUUCAGGAAACUGGGGCUAAUACCGGAUAGGAGCUCCUGCUGCAUGGUGGGGGUUGGAAAGUUUCGGCGGUUGGGGAUGGACUUGCGGCUUAUCAGCUUGUUGGUGGGGUAGUGGCUUACCAAGGCUUUGACGGGUAGCCGGCCUGAGAGGGUGACCGGCCACAUUGGGCCUGCGAUACGGCCCAGACUCCUACGGGGGGCAGCAGUGGGGAAUCUUGCACAAUGGGCGGAAGCCUGAUGCGGCAACGCCGCGUGCGGGAUGACGGCCUUCGGGUUGUAAACCGCUUUCGCCUGUGACGAAGCGUGAGUGACGGUAAUGGGUAAAGAAGCACCGGCUAACUACGUG
RNAcentral lists this ribosomal RNA (468 nucleotides) under uncultured bacterium. RNAcentral's name for it is "partial 16S ribosomal RNA". It matches the Rfam family "Bacterial small subunit ribosomal RNA", at positions 28 to 507 of the family's 1533-position model. The record is from RNAcentral.